CUGGGGAGUGAUGAUGAUUCUUAGCCAAAUCAGAUAUGUGCUCCAAGAGGCACUUGCUGGGGUUCUUGAGUUGAGUCACCAUAGUGAUAUCAUGUGGAACCUUAAUAGCCAGUAGUGUGUACCUCUUGUUGUAGGAUGAUAUUACAGAGAUGUGUAAAAACUCUGACCAGA
This is a small nucleolar RNA of Raphanus sativus (radish), 171 nucleotides long. RefSeq annotates it as small nucleolar RNA snoR127. The transcript has a single exon. The record is from RefSeq and is a predicted model, not a curated record. NCBI's taxonomy places the organism in Eukaryota, Viridiplantae, Streptophyta, Magnoliopsida, Brassicales, Brassicaceae.